This 744-nucleotide ribosomal RNA is filed under the name uncultured Candidatus Poseidoniales archaeon. RNAcentral's name for it is "bacterial SSU rRNA". It matches the Rfam family "Archaeal small subunit ribosomal RNA", at positions 177 to 923 of the family's 1478-position model. Lineage: Archaea; Methanobacteriati; Thermoplasmatota; Candidatus Poseidoniia; Candidatus Poseidoniales. The record is from RNAcentral.
GGUGAGUGGAUGAAAGCUCCGGCGGCAUAGGAUGGGCCUGCGGCGUAUCAGGUUGUAGGGGGUGUAACGUACCCUCUAGCCCUCUACGCGUACGGGUGUUGGGAGACAUAGCCCGGAGAUGGAUUCUGAGACACGAAUCCAGACCCUACGGGGUGCAGCAGGCGCGAAAACUUGGCAAUGCGAGAAAUCGUGACCAGGGAACUCCAAGUGCAUCGGGUAAGACCGGUGCUUUUCUUGACUCUAAAUAGGUCUUGGAAUAAGGGGUGGGUAAGGACGGUGCCAGCCGCCGCGGUAAUACCGGCGCCUCAAGUGGUAGUCGCUUUUAUUGGGCCUAAAACGUCCGUAGCCGGUCUGAUACAUUCGUGGGUAAAUCAACCAGCUCAACUGGUUGAAUUCUGCGAGGACGGUCAGACUUGGGACCGGGAGAGGUGUGGGGUACGCUCAGGGUAGGGGUAAAAUCCUGUCAUCCUGAGCGGACCACCUGUUGCGAAGGCGCCACACUAGAACGGAUCCGACGGUCAGGGACGAAGCCUAGGGGCACGAACCGGAUUAGAUACCCGGGUAGUCCUAGGUGUAAACGCUGUGGACUUGAUGUUGGGGGUGCUCCGAGCACUCUCAGUGUCGAAGCGAAGGUGAUAAGUCCACUGCCUGGGAAGUACGGUCGCAAGGCUGAAACUUAAAGGAAUUGGCGGGGGAGCACCGCAACCUGAGGAUUGUGCGGUUUAAUUGGACUCAACGCCGGGA